Long non-coding RNA from Daphnia magna, 644 nucleotides. RefSeq lists it as uncharacterized. The record is from RefSeq and is a predicted model, not a curated record. The transcript has 3 exons. NCBI's taxonomy places the organism in Eukaryota, Metazoa, Arthropoda, Branchiopoda, Diplostraca, Daphniidae.
AAAGGUAAGGGUGCCUGUAUCAGGGGGUUGGGAAAUGCGAGUUUUGAUAGAAUCCCUAUCGGGAAAUUUCAAUUUGACAAAACUAGGUAGUAAUACCAUAGCUAGGUUGCCACCAACAGUUCGUUAAUGUAAUUCAACGGCUCCCGGUGUUCGUGAAGUUCCCGAUAGCCUUCGAGAAAAACAAUCACACAGUACUAUCGAAAUUGAACAUAGAUUUCGCUUAAGUUAUUGGUUUUCUCGUCAAGCCUAGGGAACGCCAAAUUACACACCUAAAUUUUCAGCACCCCAGGAAGGACAAUAAAUUUAUUUUGCGACGAAUAGGACAAAUCAGAAUGAGUCGAGAGAUUCAAGACGUGUUCAGUGCGUUCCGUUUCCGUUUUAAACAUUCUUUUCGCUACUCGUUAAUACAUUGAAAUUUGCCUUUUUUUCGUACCAACAUGAGGGACACUAGACACACGACUGUUUGAAAGAUUGAUUUUCACACGACACAAUGUUUUCAUAUCUUUAGGUGCAAUUCCUAUCUGCAGCCCUACAGUGUGCAAAAAUAGAUAGAGGACAAAAUCUGAUCACCGUGCUGAUGUGCACAUGCCAGCUUCAUGUAAGCAAUCUUGAAAUGACCUAUCAACAGUAAUUUUGGUUUAUAU